RNAcentral lists this long non-coding RNA (233 nucleotides) under Elaeis guineensis (African oil palm). RNAcentral describes it as "long non-coding RNA (EGUI_LNC018316)". Lineage: Eukaryota; Viridiplantae; Streptophyta; Magnoliopsida; Arecales; Arecaceae. The record is from RNAcentral.
CGACCACGGAGGCAUCAAGAAGCUCUCCAUUUAUUGACCCUCUUAGUAAUUUUGAUGAUGACUAAACAUUAAAGCAUGCAUUCACUAAUCUUUUUCGAGUUUUUCUAAGUUUAUUUGAUAGAAAGAGAGCUCUUUGAACAAGAAAAGGAAGAAACCAAGUGUAUUUAGUGGAGAGCCCAAGUGGGAUCAAAAUGGAGUUGAAAUCCAAUGAAAAUGGCCUAGGAAAGGGUUCG